UCAUCAUGCCAUCGUCUUAGUGACUGU
This 27-nucleotide small RNA is filed under the name Bombyx mori (domestic silkworm). RNAcentral describes it as "ovarian small RNA-26038". Lineage: Eukaryota; Metazoa; Arthropoda; Insecta; Lepidoptera; Bombycidae. The record is from RNAcentral.